UGUCGAAAGCGCUGUAAAUUUUGACUUUUUCCGUCUUGUGUUAGGGGCUGGUCGUCGCUGCAUGCGAGUACAAACAGAAGUGGAGAAGAUUCGCAGAAGUAGCACCAGAGGUGCAAGUUGGGACAAAUCAAACAUCAGGAUCUAUUUUUUGAGUCAUUUAGUGGCUUUAUGAUUAGAUGUCCACUGUCCAUGACCAGACAAAACUUGGCGUACCAGGGCUGAGCGAGGUUAGGCGCCCCGACGUCGUCCCGAUUGUGACGACGUUGGCCGUCUUUUUCGUAGUCGGCUACGAAAAGUUGAGCAUAAAACGCUACCGACGACCGACAAAGAUAGAGAAGCCAAGGAAGAGAAAAGCAUCGAAUUCGUUUGCCGGGCGGAUUGUGCUGUCUUGCAUGCAACAGUUGCGACCCCGAGGGAAGAUUUUCUCAAUCUGCGCUUUAAGUAAAGAGGCAUACGCAGAAGUCCCUUAUAAUAAAUGGUUUCCAUCGAGCUUCCACUGAUCUGGCGUUGCAAGAGCUUGUGUGGUAGGUCUUCUACACCCAUCAUGAUUCUCGGACUCUAAUUGAUGUGGUUAGUUGGUAAUAGUACAAUACUAAGCAUUAAAAUUAAACUGGGAGAAAGGCUUCAAGAGGAGACUUGGAAAUUUCUAGCGGGACGAAACAGAUAAAUCGCCUGAGAAUAGACGACGUCCGUAGAGCGUAACGGCAACAGUACUAAUUCCCUAGUAGUAUUCGAAAAACAUGCUGAAGAGAACGACCAUUAUUUUGCGAACGCUUAAGAAACGUUAGGGCUAGAGGUCACGCAAGGCUUCACUAGAGAAAUUACGAAGUAAAAUGACACUUGCAUCUACCACAAAUCAACUUCGUGCUCCUUUCGAGGGAAGGCACAUUUAGAGUUUACUAUAGUGAUGGUCGGGAUUGUCUUAUGAAGGUGUCCCUUAACCUCCAAAAAAAAGUCUAGGAAUCGUCUCUAAAAAGAAAACUAUAUAAUUAAAUUGCUUGGCAGCUAUAACGGAAAUGGGAAAUCAUCUUCAGAUGGAAAAAAUAAAAAGAUAACAAUGCAAUUAAAAAAAACAAAAUUUUAUAUAAAAGCCUUAUGUUAGGUGUUUCCGUGUAUCAUUAACCAUAACAAAAAAAAGCCAUUGUUACUUUUCAAAUUAAAUGAUUGUUUUUAGGAGCAGAAACUAGUUACAAAACAAACCCGCAACUUCGUUAAUCUCAAGCAAAAGAUCUAGCUAUUCUAUUAUUUGACUUGAUUUUUUGCUGACUUGGUAAAUCCAAACAUUUAAAUUAAAUUUGUUGCAAUUUGCUUUCUUAAUAAUCACACCGAUUCACAUUACUUGAUCAUAUUCUCAAAUUUUCAACGAUGUUGGCGAAACGCAAAUUUUAUUUGAUUAUCAUUUGCUUACACCUGAUACACCAAAACACACCGAUAAUCGUUUUAGUUUCCAUGUAGCAAUAUUCUUACGGUUCUUGAAGUUCUGCCGAAAAGCAGGCUCGUCCUUCAAAGAGUAAUUCAUCCGACCUGUCGCGAAUAUCGGCCACUCGAACAAACUUACAAUGCAAAAGGUAGAUCGCGCACGACCAAUUGGUCCUUCAUCUCAAUGAGGUUUGCAAUCACUCUCCGUUUGCACUUGUUGCACAUAACACGGAGUUGACCGUGUUCUUCCUGUUGAACGACAGCACAUCCCACGCAAUAGGCGUGUCCGCAGGCAGCAAUAUAUAGACACGUGGACAAAACAUUACAUGCAUCGCAUGGUGUUAGUCGGCGGCCGACACUGUGUUCUUCCUGUUGAACGACAGCACAUCCCACGCAAUAGGCGUGUCCGCAGGCAGCAAUAUAUAGACACGUGGACAAAACAUAUUACAUGCAUCGCAUGGUGUUUGUCGGCGGCCGACGCUGCCCACUUUUGGGUGGCUUUUUUCGGUUGAGGCAGGCAUAGCGGCGCCAGGCAGGUGCUUGCUGGCCUGCAA
Molecule: long non-coding RNA, 1973 nt
Organism: Varroa destructor (honeybee mite)
Lineage: Eukaryota; Metazoa; Arthropoda; Arachnida; Mesostigmata; Varroidae
Source: RefSeq, a predicted model, not a curated record